UUUAAUAGGACCUUUCUCAGCUUGGACUGAACGGCAAAGGAAGAUCUCAAAGCUUUCCUUUGAAGCCAAAAUGUAAUGUGAUCUUAUCAUUAGAUUAUAAUCCAAAAAAAAAAGGUUGUGCUUUUUGGCAUGGGGCCAUUUCAUUGUUUGACUAAAGCAUUGGUAGCUGUCAUCAUGGCCUGAUGGUCCUAUGCUCAGCAAGCGAGCUUGAAGCUAUAAACC
RNAcentral lists this long non-coding RNA (222 nucleotides) under Elaeis guineensis (African oil palm). RNAcentral's name for it is "long non-coding RNA (EGUI_LNC031582)". Lineage: Eukaryota; Viridiplantae; Streptophyta; Magnoliopsida; Arecales; Arecaceae. The record is from RNAcentral.